AUGGGCUUCGGCCACACAGUGCGGACCUUCUGGUUCACCACCCCUCCCAAGCCCGGCCCGGACGUGCCCUUCCGGCUAGGCCUCAUCGGCGACCUGGGCCAGACGUCUGACUCCAACAGCAGACUGACCCACUACGAGGCCACGGGGGGUGACGCCGUGCUCUUCAUGGGCGACCUCUCCUACGCCGACAAACACCCCCUCCACGACAACAAUCGUUGGGACACGUGGGGCCGCUUCUCCGAGCGCAGCGUCGCCUACCAACCAUGGAUCUGGGUCACCGGCAACCACGAGGUCGACUAUGCACCGGAGCUCGGCGAGACGGCGCCGUUCAAGCCAUUCAGUCAUCGGUACUCGACGCCGCACCAGUCGAGCGGCUCGCCGGAGCCCUACUGGUACUCGGUGAAGCUCGCGUCCGCGCACAUCAUCAUACUGUCCUCCUACUCCGCGUUCGGCAAGUACACGCCGCAGUACAAGUGGCUGGAGGCGGAGCUGAAGCGCGUGAACCGGAGCGAGACGCCGUGGCUGAUCGUGGCAUCGCACUCGCCGUGGUACAACAGCUACAACUUCCACUACAUGGAGGGCGAACCGAUGCGUGUGCAGUUCGAGCAGUGGGCCGUCGACGCCAGGGUCGACCUCGUCUUCGCCGGGCACGUGCACGCGUAUGAGCGCAGCCACCGGGUGUCCAACAUCAAGUACAACAUCACAGACGGGAGGUGCAAGCCGGUGCGGGACCGCCGCGCGCCUGUGUACAUGACCAUCGGCGACGGCGGCAACAUCGAGGGGCUUGCCGACAGCAUGACGGAGCCGCAACCGAGCUACUCGGCGUUCCGGGAGGCUAGCUUUGGGCAUGCCGUGCUGGACAUCAAGAACCGCACGCACGCCUACUACGCUUGGUACCGCAACGCCGACGGCGUCAAGGUUGAUGCCGACACCGUGUGGUUCACCAACCGCUACUACAUGCCCAACCACGACGACUCCCGUUGA
This 984-nucleotide ribosomal RNA is filed under the name Triticum aestivum (bread wheat). RNAcentral describes it as "partial small subunit ribosomal RNA". Lineage: Eukaryota; Viridiplantae; Streptophyta; Magnoliopsida; Poales; Poaceae. The record is from RNAcentral.